Rattus norvegicus (Norway rat) is the source of this 69-nucleotide non-coding RNA. NCBI's taxonomy places the organism in Eukaryota, Metazoa, Chordata, Mammalia, Rodentia, Muridae. The record is from Rfam.
GGGGAUUUAGCUCAGUGGUAGAGCGCUUGCCUAGCAAUCACAAGGCCCUGGGUUCGGUCCCCAGCUCCU